Molecule: small RNA, 28 nt
Filed under: Bombyx mori (domestic silkworm)
Lineage: Eukaryota; Metazoa; Arthropoda; Insecta; Lepidoptera; Bombycidae
Description: piRNA piR-bmo-1418748
Source: RNAcentral
UGUUGUCUACUAGUAACUGGAAUGCCUC